Molecule: long non-coding RNA, 670 nt
Organism: Drosophila biarmipes
Lineage: Eukaryota; Metazoa; Arthropoda; Insecta; Diptera; Drosophilidae
Exons: 2
Source: RefSeq, a predicted model, not a curated record
CCGGGCUUUCAAUAAGUGUGCGUUGACGGUUUUAUUAGAGCGAGUAAAAUGGAUUUGGACAAUAUUAAAUUUGAGCUUAAGGAAGGAAGCCGUGCAGGUUUCUCUCAAUUAUUAUAUACUCCAAGUGACCAACAAAUUUACAUAAAAAAUAAACAAUUAAAAUCGAAUGAUAUUGCAUAUGUGUGUCGUUCAAAGGAUUGCAGAGCACGGGUUUAUUUAAGUGCAGAUAGGUCUCGAGUCUUUUCCAAUCCUGAAAAAAUUAAACAUAUUCAUGGACCACAAGGCAAUGAAAUGGAAAAAAUGGAAGUGCUGUCGCAAAUACAAUUGAAGUGUCAAACCAAUUCCGACACCAAAAAAAUAUUUAAUGAUGUUCUCGCGAGAAAAACAAAUGGAGAAGAGGAAAUAGAAAUAAGUUAUGAUACGGUGAAACGCACUCUACAGCGAAAACACAACCUUUUCUUCCAAAAUCUCCAAUUACUCCCAAGGAGCAUAAAGUUCCUAUGUUAUAUGAAUAUGUAUAUGUUUUUUUCACUGUAAUGACGUUCACACAAAUUCGGUCAGAAAAUUGUUCAUAUGUAUAAUAUAUAAGUUGAACUGAUUUAUGUAAAAAUUAUUAAAAAUAAUACAUAUACUUAAUAAAGACUUGUGGGAAACUGCGUUUUUUAAGGGA